CCUACGGGGGGCAGCAGUGAGGAAUAUUGGUCAAUGGACGAGAGUCUGAACCAGCCAAGUAGCGUGAAGGAUGACUGCCCUAUGGGUUGUAAACUUCUUUUAUAUGGGAAUAAAAUGUUCCACGUGUGGGAUUUUGUAUGUACCAUAUGAAUAAGGAUCGGCUAACUCCGUGCCAGCAGCCGCGGUAAUACGGAGGAUCCGAGCGUUAUCCGGAUUUAUUGGGUUUAAAGGGAGCGUAGGUGGAGUGUUAAGUCAGUUGUGAAAGUUGGCGGCUCAACCGUACAAUUGCAGUUGAAACUGGCAGUCUUGAGUACAGUAGAGGUGGGCGGAAUUCGUGGUGUAGCGGUGAAAUGCUUAGAUAUCACGAAGAACUCCGAUUGCGAAGGCAGUUCACUGGACUGCAACUGACACUGAGGCUCGAAAGUGUGGGUAUCAAACAGGAUUAGAUACCCGGGUAGUC
Molecule: ribosomal RNA, 460 nt
Filed under: uncultured bacterium
Lineage: Bacteria
Description: partial 16S ribosomal RNA
Rfam family: Bacterial small subunit ribosomal RNA
Source: RNAcentral